Molecule: ribosomal RNA, 497 nt
Filed under: uncultured bacterium
Lineage: Bacteria
Description: partial 16S ribosomal RNA
Rfam family: Bacterial small subunit ribosomal RNA
Source: RNAcentral
GAUGAACGCUGGCGGCGUGCCUAAUACAUGCAAGUCGAGCGAACGGACGAGAAGCUUGCUUCUCUGAUGUUAGCGGCGGACGGGUGAGUAACACGUGGAUAACCUACCUAUAAGACUGGGAUAACUUCGGGAAACCGGAGCUAAUACCGGAUAAUAUUUUGAACCGCAUGGUUCAAAAGUGAAAGACGGUCUUGCUGUCACUUAUAGAUGGAUCCGAGCUGCAUUAGCUAGUUGGUAAGGUAACGGCUUACCAAGGCAACGAUGCAUAGCCGACCUGAGAGGGUGAUCGGCCACACUGGAACGUAGACACGGUCCAGACUCCUACGGGAGGCAGCAGUAGGGAAUCUUCCGCAAUGGGCGAAAGCCUGACGCAGCAACGCCGCGUGAGUGAUGAAGGUCUUCGGAUCGUAAAACUCUGUUAUUAGGGAAGAACAUAUGUGUAAGUAACUGUGCACAUCUUGACGGUACCUAAUCAGAAAGCCACGGCUAACUACGUG